This 1277-nucleotide long non-coding RNA is filed under the name Cricetulus griseus (Chinese hamster). RNAcentral's name for it is "lncRNA (ENSCGRG00015034042.1)". Lineage: Eukaryota; Metazoa; Chordata; Mammalia; Rodentia; Cricetidae. The record is from RNAcentral.
UAGAAAUGGAGUUAUAAAAUCUAAAAAGCCUGGCUGGCUGAGUCACUGCAUGAAGGAAAGCUGCCCUGGUACUUUUUCUUUGGUGUAGCUACCACCUUACCUGAAUAAUACAAAGUGUUGUCCUCCUCCCUCCUGGAAUUGCUUUACUCAGUGUGAGCUUUCGAGACAGUACAAAACAGGGGAGAGAGGAUUCAGUGUGUCACCCCGAAGCUCCAUGAAGUAUCCCCUGCAUUGAGAUCAACUCCUAACCAAGGAAGCACAGAGGGGAGGCAGGCAACCACCGAUUUCUGGAUGGAACUCAAGAAAAGCUUCCGCCUGGAUACCUGGGGUUUCUUGGAGCAAAGGACACAGCAACCUUUUCCAGAAGCCAGUGAGGCAGUGUGGGACUCUUUCAACUGAGAGAGGGCCAGAGCAGGCACUUUGAAAUUAGUAAUGUGAGUUGUGGUGAGAGCCCAUUAUUAAAAACUAAUCAGAAUUCUAAGAACUAAGGAAGGAAGGGAGGGAGGCAUCCACCAAGAUACACUUGCUACAAUCUGGGGUGGGGUACUUUCUGAGGCUUAUUAGAAGCAGGAUGUCUGAAGUAUCUUGCCAGUACUUCUGCCAGGUCAUGGGGUGCCAUCCAAAGGACCUCCCACUCUUACCCCUCUUCUCACCCCUUCCAGCACCAGAGAGAGAGAGAGAGAGAGAGAGAGAGAGAGAGAGAGAGAGAGAGAGAGGUGAAAAGAAGCUGACACUCACGGGGUGGUUAAAACACAAGUCAGAUACAGAGAAACCAACCACGAAGGCCCCACCUUUCCCAACCAUGAGCUCUUGCACAAGCAUCCAUGCUUAAGAGAAUGAAGAAGACUCGAUACAGAACCUCUUAGUUUGGGCUAAGAUCUUGAGUGGGCACUGGAGCACUAAAUCAAAACAGUGGCUGGGACUUAGAAUGACUUAAAAAGCCAGGAGUGCGUUUGCGUUGUUUUUAUUAGGGGCAUGAAAAGGUGGGCCUGCUGCAUAAAUUUUAAAGAGGUGACUGGAGAAAGCAAUAGAGGGUUGCUUUAAUUGCUUUUUCAAGCUGUGCUUUUUUUUGACCUGCAUUUUAUGGGUGUUCUUUCAUCUCUUAUAAGCAGCAAGGAGCAACGAUCUUUCAAAAUUACUUGGGCAUAAGAAAUGUUAAGCAUGUAUCAAUUGUAGGCCAUCCAUUAUCCUCCACUUAGGAUAUGAAAAUGUCCUUUGUGUUUUCCUGACUUUAGUGAGCCGCCUUGACUGUUAAUGAAAUGUGAGGAACAGCUGAC